RNAcentral lists this long non-coding RNA (822 nucleotides) under Homo sapiens (human). RNAcentral describes it as "HSALNT0126519". The record is from RNAcentral. Lineage: Eukaryota; Metazoa; Chordata; Mammalia; Primates; Hominidae.
GAAAGGGAGGGCGUGAAGAGGCACCCGGAAGGCAGGAGGAGAGGGCAGGAGGGAAACUGCACUCGCCUCCCUCCCGCUCCGUGGCCACAGGUCCCCGCAAGAAAGACCCCGUCCCACUCUCUGAGGUCUCCUCCCAGCUCCAGAAAAGGGGACAUUCCACCUAGUCUGCCCAACAAGUAGGUCUCAGCCACUGUGCCAGGAGCUCGGGACUCCCUCCCUCCAGAGGUUUCUGGAAUGCAUUCAGCAGGAAAAGCUAAAAGAACAGGACUCCAGGAGAUAAGCCAAGGCCAAGUCUAUCAGAGGGUGAGCCAGCAGCGGGAAGGGGACCAGCCCUUCCCCUAGCGUUUUUUCUGCCCGCUCCAGAAUCCGCUUUAGAAACUGUUAAAUGCAGAAAGUGGGGCCUCCACCACCCGCGAUGCUGCCCCAGGUCUAGCAGAAGACAGGUGUAAGGCCAGGCGGGUGCGGUGGCUCAUGCCUGUAAUCCUAAUGCUUUGGGAAGGCCGAGACGGGAGGAUAGCCUGAGGCCAGGAGUUGGAGACCAGCCUGGGCAACAUAGCAAGACCCCAUCUCUACAAAAAGUGAUAAUUUUUAAAAAAUGGGCUGGCUGGGCCCCUGGGCAUGGUGGCUCACGCCUAUAAUCCCAGCACUUUGGGAGACCGAGGAGGGCGGAUCACCUGAGGUCAGGAGUUCAAGACCAGCCUGGCCAAUAGGGCCAAACUCCAUUUCUACUAAACAUACAAAAAUUAGCCGGGUGUGAUGGUGCGCACCUGUAAUCACAGCUACUCGGGAGGCUGAGGCAGGAGAAUCACUUGAACCUGGCAG